AUUGAACGCUGGCGGCAUGCCUUACACAUGCAAGUCGAACGGUAACGGGCCUUCGGGUGCCGACGAGUGGCGAACGGGUGGGUAAUACAUCGGAACGUGCCCGAUCGUGGGGGAUAACGAGGCGAAAGCUUUGCUAAUACCGCAUACGAUCUACGGAUGAAAGCAGGGGACCGCAAGGCCUUGCGCGGACGGAACGGCCGAUGGCAGAUUAGGUAGUUGGUGGGAUAAAAGCUUACCAAGCCGACGAUCUGUAGCUGGUCUGAGAGGAUGAUCAGCCACACUGGGACUGAGACACGGCCCAGACUCCUACGGGAGGCAGCAGUGGGGGAUUUUGGACAAUGGGCGCAAGCCUGAUCCAGCCAUGCCGCGUGCAGGAUGAAGGCCUUCGGGUUGUAAACUGCUUUUGUACGGAACGAAAAGCCUUCUUUUAAUACAGGAGGGUCAUGACGGUACCGGAAGAAUAAGCACCGGCUAACUACGUG
This 482-nucleotide ribosomal RNA is filed under the name uncultured bacterium. Its description in RNAcentral is "partial 16S ribosomal RNA". It matches the Rfam family "Bacterial small subunit ribosomal RNA", at positions 30 to 507 of the family's 1533-position model. The record is from RNAcentral.